UACGUAGGGUGCAAGCGUUACUCGGAAUUACUGGGCGUAAAGCGUGCGCAGGCGGUUUUGCCAGUCAGAUGUGAAAUCCCCGGGCUCAACCUGGGAACUGCAUUUGUGACUGCAUCGCUAGAGUACGGCAGAGGGGGAUGGAAUUCCGCGUGUAGCAGUGAAAUGCGUAGAUAUGCGGAGGAACACCGAUGGCGAAGGCAAUCCCCUGGGCCUGUACUGACGCUCAUGCACGAAAGCGUGGGGAGCAAACAGG
RNAcentral lists this ribosomal RNA (253 nucleotides) under uncultured bacterium. Its description in RNAcentral is "partial 16S ribosomal RNA". It matches the Rfam family "Bacterial small subunit ribosomal RNA", at positions 524 to 776 of the family's 1533-position model. The record is from RNAcentral.